GGCUAUGGCGGGCGGGGCGUGGGGGCCUCGUGCCCGCCGGCUUUGUCUAGCAACCGGUUUUCGAGCCACGCCCUGUCCGCCACCUUU
This 87-nucleotide non-coding RNA is filed under the name Stenotrophomonas maltophilia. RNAcentral also lists the same sequence under 2 other names. Lineage: Bacteria; Pseudomonadati; Pseudomonadota; Gammaproteobacteria; Lysobacterales; Lysobacteraceae. The record is from RNAcentral.